UACGGAGGGUGCAAGCGUUAAUCGGAAUUACUGGGCGUAAAGCGCACGCAGGUGGCUGAGUCAGUCGAUUGUGAAAGCCCUGGGCUUAACCUGGGAAUUGCAGUCGAUACUACUCAGCUAGAGUAUGGGAGAGGGUAGUGGAAUUCCCGGUGUAGCGGUGAAAUGCGUAGAUAUCUGGAGGAACACCGGUGGCGAAGGCGGCAUCCUGGACCGGCAUUGACGCUGAGGCGCGAAAGCCAGGGGAGCAAACGGG
RNAcentral lists this ribosomal RNA (253 nucleotides) under uncultured bacterium. RNAcentral describes it as "partial 16S ribosomal RNA". It matches the Rfam family "Bacterial small subunit ribosomal RNA", at positions 524 to 776 of the family's 1533-position model. The record is from RNAcentral.